Molecule: ribosomal RNA, 253 nt
Filed under: uncultured bacterium
Lineage: Bacteria
Description: partial 16S ribosomal RNA
Rfam family: Bacterial small subunit ribosomal RNA
Source: RNAcentral
UACGUAGGGUGCAAGCGUUGUCCGGAAUUAUUGGGCGUAAAGAGCUCGUAGGCGGUUUGUCGCGUCGACUGUGAAAACCCGGGGCUCAACCCCGGGCCUGCAUUCGAUACGGGCAGACUAGAGUUCGGUAGGGGAGUCUGGAAUUCCUGGUGUAGCGGUGAAAUGCGCAGAUAUCAGGAGGAACACCGAUGGCGAAGGCAGUGGUCUGGGCCGAUACUGACGCUGAGGAGCGAAAGCGUGGGGAGCGAACAGG